CCGGCACGGGUGAGUAACACGUAUCCAACCUGCCGUCUACUCUUGGACAGCCUUCUGAAAGGAAGAUUAAUACAAGAUGGCAUCAUGAGUCCGCAUGUUCACAUGAUUAAAGGUAUUCCGGUAGACGAUGGGGAUGCGUUCCAUUAGAUAGUAGGCGGGGUAACGGCCCACCUAGUCUUCGAUGGAUAGGGGUUCUGAGAGGAAGGUCCCCCACAUUGAAACUGAGACACGGUCCAA
Molecule: ribosomal RNA, 237 nt
Filed under: uncultured bacterium
Lineage: Bacteria
Description: partial 16S ribosomal RNA
Rfam family: Bacterial small subunit ribosomal RNA
Source: RNAcentral